GUGCCAGCAGCCGCGGUAAUACGGAGGGUGCAAGCGUUGUCCGGAUUUAUUGGGUUUAAAGGGUGCGUAGGCGGUUCUUUAAGUCAGCGGUGAAAGUCCAGAGCUUAACUCUGGGAUUGCCAUUGAUACUGAAGAACUUGAGUAUAGUUGAGGUAGGCGGAAUUGACAGUGUAGCGGUGAAAUGCAUAGAUAUUGUCAAGAACACCGAUUGCGUAGGCAGCUUACUAAGCUAUAACUGACGCUGAGGCACGAAAGUGUGGGGAUCAAACAGGAUUAGAUACCCCUGUAGUCC
Molecule: ribosomal RNA, 292 nt
Filed under: uncultured bacterium
Lineage: Bacteria
Description: partial 16S ribosomal RNA
Rfam family: Bacterial small subunit ribosomal RNA
Source: RNAcentral